RNAcentral lists this signal recognition particle RNA (298 nucleotides) under Saimiri boliviensis boliviensis (Bolivian squirrel monkey). RNAcentral's name for it is "Metazoan signal recognition particle RNA (ENSSBOG00000000451.1)". It matches the Rfam family "Metazoan signal recognition particle RNA". Rfam says of the family: The signal recognition particle (SRP) is a universally conserved ribonucleoprotein. Lineage: Eukaryota; Metazoa; Chordata; Mammalia; Primates; Cebidae. The record is from RNAcentral.
GCCAGGCGCGGUGGUGCCUGCCUGUAGUCCCAGUUACUCGGGAGGCUGAGGCUGGAGGAUCUCUUGAGCCCAGGAGUUCUGGGCUGCAGUGCGCUAUGCUGAUCGGGUGUCCACACUAAGUUCGGCAUCAGUAUGGUGACCUCCUGGGAGUAGGGGACCACCAGGUUGCCUAAGGAGGGGUGAACCGGCCCAGGUCAGAAACGGAGCAGGUCAAAACUCCCAUGCUGAUCAGCAGUGGGAUCGCACCUGUGAAUAGCCACUGCACUCCAGCCUGGGCAACAAGUGAGACCCCGUCUCU